RNAcentral lists this non-coding RNA (33 nucleotides) under unclassified sequences. RNAcentral's name for it is "DUF805b RNA". It matches the Rfam family "DUF805b RNA". Rfam says of the family: Bacteroidetes, Chlorobi (1 example), Proteobacteria. Lineage (Flavobacteria) The record is from RNAcentral.
AACGGGGAAGCCGAAAACCGUACAGAGUAGGCA